RNAcentral lists this ribosomal RNA (497 nucleotides) under uncultured bacterium. RNAcentral describes it as "partial 16S ribosomal RNA". It matches the Rfam family "Bacterial small subunit ribosomal RNA", at positions 28 to 507 of the family's 1533-position model. The record is from RNAcentral.
GAUGAACGCUGGCGGCGUGCCUAAUACAUGCCAGUCGAGCGAACGGACGAGAAGCUUGCUUCUCUGAUGUUAGCGGCGGACGGGUGAGUAACACGUGGAUAACCUACCUAUAAGACUGGGAUAACUUCGGGAAACCGGCGCUAAUACCGGAUGAUAUUUUGAACCGCAUGGUUCAAAAGUGAAAGACGGUCUUGCUGUCACUUAUAGAUGGAUCCGCGCUGCAUUAGCUAGUUGGUAAGGUAACGGCUUACCAAGGCAACGAUGCAUAGCCGACCUGAGAGGGUGAUCGGCCACACUGGAACUGAGACACGGUCCAGACUCCUACGGGAGGCAGCAGUAGGGAAUCUUCCGCAAUGGGCGAAAGCCUGACGGAGCAACGCCGCGUGAGUGAUGAAGGUCUUCGGAUCGUAAAACUCUGUUAUUAGGGAAGAACAUAUGUGUAAGUAACUGUGCACAUCUUGACGGUACCUAAUCAGAAAGCCACGGCUAACUACGUG